RNAcentral lists this ribosomal RNA (497 nucleotides) under uncultured bacterium. Its description in RNAcentral is "partial 16S ribosomal RNA". It matches the Rfam family "Bacterial small subunit ribosomal RNA", at positions 28 to 507 of the family's 1533-position model. The record is from RNAcentral.
GAUGAACGCUGGCGGCGUGCCUAAUACAUGCAAGUCGAGCGAACAGACGAGGAGCUUGCUCCUCUGACGUUAGCGGCGGACGGGUGAGAAACACGUGGAUAACCUACCUAUAAGACUGGGAUAACUUCGGGAAACCGGAGCUAAUACCGGAUAAUAUAUUGAACCGCAUGGUUCAAUAGUGAAAGACGGUUUUGCUGUCACUUAUAGAUGGAUCCGCGCCGCAUUAGCUAGUUGGUAAGGUAACGGCUUACCAAGGCAACGAUGCGUAGCCGACCUGAGAGGGUGAUCGGCCACACUGGAACUGAGACACGGUCCAGACUCCUACGGGAGGCAGCAGUAGGGAAUCUUCCGCAAUGGGCGAAAGCCUGACGGAGCAACGCCGCGUGAGUGAUGAAGGUCUUCGGAUCGUAAAACUCUGUUAUUAGGGAAGAACAACUGUGUAAGUAAAUAGGCACGUCUUGACGGUACCUAAGCAGAAAGCUACGGCUAACUACGUG